CCUACGGGUGGCAGCAGUGGGGAAUAUUGCACAAUGGGGGGAACCCUGAUGCAGCGACGCCGCGUGGGUGAGGAAGUACUUCCGUAUGUAAAGCCCUAUCUGCAGGGAAGAAAAUCACUGUACCUGCCUAAGACUCCCCGUCUAACUCCGUUCCAGCCGCCGCGGUUAUACGUAGGGGGCAAGCGUUAUCCGGAUUUACCGGGGGUAAAGGGAGCUUAGACGGCGUGCCAAGUCUGGUGGGAAAGGCCGGGGCUCAAACCCGGGACUGCAGUGGAAACUGGCAUGCUGGAGUGCCGGAGGGGCAAGCGGAAUUCCUAGUGUAGCGGUGAAAUGCGUAGAUAUUAGGAGGAACACCGGUGGCGAAGGCGGCUUGCUGGACGGUAACUGACGUUGAGGCUCGAAAGCGUGGGGAGCAAACAGGAUUAGAUACCCGGGUAGUC
This 440-nucleotide ribosomal RNA is filed under the name uncultured bacterium. Its description in RNAcentral is "partial 16S ribosomal RNA". It matches the Rfam family "Bacterial small subunit ribosomal RNA", at positions 338 to 795 of the family's 1533-position model. The record is from RNAcentral.